RNAcentral lists this ribosomal RNA (527 nucleotides) under uncultured Actinomycetes bacterium. Its description in RNAcentral is "bacterial SSU rRNA". It matches the Rfam family "Bacterial small subunit ribosomal RNA", at positions 8 to 522 of the family's 1533-position model. Lineage: Bacteria; Bacillati; Actinomycetota; Actinomycetes. The record is from RNAcentral.
AGAGUUUGAUCCUGGCUCAGGACGAACGCUGGCGGCGCGCUUAACACAUGCAAGUCGAGCGAGAACCCAGGCUUCGGCCUGGGGGAAAGCGGCGAACGGGUGAGUAACACGUGAGUAAUCUGCCCUCGACAUCGGGAUAGCCCGGGGAAACCCGGAUUAAUACCGAAUGGCCCAUCAGCUUCUCGAAGCGGAUGGAAAAGGUAGCUUCGGCCUCCGGUCGAGGAGGAGCUCGCGGCGGAUUAGCUUGUUGGUGAGGUAACGGCUCACCAAGGCUCCGAUCCGUAGCUGGUCUGAGAGGACGAUCAGCCACACUGGGACUGAGACACGGCCCAGACUCCUACGGGAGGCAGCAGUGGGGAAUCUUGCGCAAUGGGCGAAAGCCUGACGCAGCGACGCCGCGUGAGGGAAGAAGGCCUUCGGGUUGUAAACCUCUUUCAGGAGGGACGAAGCCACUCGGGUUAAUAGCCCAGAGGGUGACGGUACCUCCAGAAGAAGCCCCGGCUAACUACGUGCCAGCAGCCGCGGUA